UACGAAGGGGGCGAGCGUUGUUCGGAUUUACUGGGCGUAAAGGGCGCGCAGGCGGCGAGUUUUGUCAGGCGUGAAAGCCCCGGGCUCAACCUGGGAAUUGCAUUCGAGACUGCAUAGCUAGGGUGCGGAAGAGGGAAGCGGAAUUUCCGGUGUAGCGGUGAAAUGCGUAGAUAUCGGAAGGAACACCAGUGGCGAAAGCGGCUUCCUGGUCCAGCACCGACGUUCAGGCACGAAAGCGUGGGGAGCAAACAGG
This 253-nucleotide ribosomal RNA is filed under the name uncultured bacterium. RNAcentral's name for it is "partial 16S ribosomal RNA". It matches the Rfam family "Bacterial small subunit ribosomal RNA", at positions 524 to 776 of the family's 1533-position model. The record is from RNAcentral.